UCCAGCCUUGGGCUCUGACAACCGCCUGGGCCACCGGACCAUGGCUUGGCAGCAAUGACCUUCCUACAGACAGCAGCAGCAGCAACCAUGAUGGGGCAGCAACAGCAGCAGAGAUCCCGCCAGCAGGCCAUCACAGACUUCUUCACCACCCCGGCUGGAGGUGCAGUGCAGCAAGAGGGACCUGCCCUAAAUGCCCCAGUGGAUGACGGGCCAACACAGGAAGCAGGGGUGGGAGGGGGCGAGGCAGUGGCAGCAGCAGCAACAGUGGGUGCUGCAGGAGCCUCACCACUGGCCCGCACACACGCCUGGGCAGUGGCAGACUUCUGGGUGUGUCUGCACUCAUUCACGAUGCUGGAGAACCCCAGACAUGGCUGGGACAGAGUUGGGCCACAGCACCCCAUCCUGCGGUCGUGGAGGAGUGGAUGUAGUGUGCAGCAGUGGUGGAAACCAUGGCCUAAAUAGCCAUACUGGAGUGGAGUCAGGGGCUCUUUUUGGAGGGGAGCAGGGAGAGUGAGGGAGAGGGGGUGAGAGAGCCAGAAGUAGGGAUAGGUGGGGAGUGAGGAGAGCAGGGAGGCCCUGGGCAUUUGGAGGGCUGGGCAAGAGAGCAGUGUCCUGGCCUAGGGUCACGUGGUCUAGCAGGGGAAGUUGUGGAGCCGGGCUGUGUGUGUUCAUGUGCUCAUGUGUGUGCCCGCUCCCUGGGAAUUGGGGCCUGUCAAAGAGAGGGGAUUGGGUUCUGUACUGUCUGGCAUCAGAGUAGAGACAGUGUAGGUGGCUUGUGGGAGUGGAGAGGAGGUGGGAAAGUGGUGGAGGACAGUGGUGUGGAGGUGGAGAGCAGGUGAUGCUGGUCCCAGCUGGCCAGGGUCAGGAGGGGAGGGAUCCCGGUGUGGUAAGCAGGAGCAGGCAGUGUCUGUGAGCCGUGCCUUCCUCGGGCUUUUUAGGGGGGUGCUGCACUGGCUUGUCAUCCUCCCCGCGGCAAUAGGUGUUUUUGCUUUGUCUUGCACUGGGCUGCGCCCGGAAGCCCACAACCCCCAGGAGGAGACUGCCAUAUGGACCGGUUGAGAGUGGACCUGUGAGGUAGUGGUGGCCAUCCUCGGUAGGUGUCCGUUGCUAGUGGUAGGUGAAUGGCUGGCCUUCAGGGACCAGUGUAUGAGUGCCCAUGUUGUGUUUGUCUUCUCGGUGCAACCGCGUCUUGGUUUUGUGGUGUGGCAUCUCAGGCCCGUGGUCCUCCAUGUAUCUCUGGCCUUGCUGGCUGUGUGGGGUCCUUGACUAGGAGAGUCGGCUGAGGGGCCGUACCUGACAUGGGUAGGUCUUCCCUUGCCUCGGGUUUUGAGUGUGUAGUGGAGCCCCCUGAGUAGAGCCCCGGCCCCCAGUGGUGUUUUCGCUUUGUUCUUGUUUUGGCGGUCAAGAGAGACGAGAGCGCACGAUUAGGCUGGCCUGGCAUAGUGAGGGCAGAUAGCUUGUUUAGGUCUCCCAGAGGUGGUGUGGCGCCUCUCGUGUGGCUCUCACUUAAUUCGGUUUGCAGUCUUCUGCACUGCUGUGUUGCCUAGCCAGGAGCCCCUGGCAAGGGGCUGGGAGAGCGUCCUGGUUGGCAUGAGUAAGGAUGCACACGGAGGAACAGACAGAUGUAGAGCCGCACGCCUGCCCCUGCGCUGUGUUUUGGCCCAGUCAGGGGCCUGGUGCUCAUCCUUUCCUCGGGGUGAACCGCCCACAGUGUAACACCCCCAACAACACUACAUGAGGCAGACAGACAGCACGCCUGCAAUGGGAUGGUGUAGCAAGUUCAUUAAUAAGGAGGCAUGGUCAGGUUUUUUUUCAUUUAGGAUGGGGAACUAAAGGGAAUGAUGACAACCCUUUGGCUUCUUCCCCUUUAGGGGACUUCUUAGGGUUGGAUUUAAUUUAUUCAUUAAUUGUGAGGCGCUGGGGGGCUACACCCCCUGCAGACCCCCCCCCCCCCGAUAUGUUACAACUCCCUCGUAGACCAUGAGUCAUGCACUGUGUUAGCGCAUUUUUUCGUUCCUGUGUCCACUCUUCGUGUGCAUGCGUAGAUAGUUCUGGCACUGUUUGUGAGCAGUAAAUAAAAUCGACCAAGCAAAGGCCCAAAGCAAGCAACCACACAGCAAAUCACAGGCCAUCACCUGCCGCUGCAAACCACAGCACACUAGGACUCUACUAGUUCAUCAUGUACCAGCCCCUGCUGCUGCCGUCCAGCCCCUUCCUCAGUGUGUCACGGAAGGGGAACGUGCCCAGGUCGAACAGGUUGUGAACCGCCAUGCAUCCUCCACCAACCCGGCACCAUCACUAACACCAGCAAAGCCGAAAACUCCGUCAAGCCACCGGUGAGGGCCGCACAGUAGCUGAUGGCCUGCCACACCCUUGCUGUGGGUGUGUCAUCGAGCAGCGCCCGGUGCCCACAUCCAAGCGCGUCUGGGUCCACUACUUUUGGCUGGAGGAAUGAAAAUGUGCGGGUCGGCCUCAAUUUAUUCCUUUUUUCCAAAUGCCAAAAUGCCUGUUUAUUCCUUUUAAGUAAAUUAUUACUUCAAAAAAACCCUGGGCAUGGCAGGUCAGUGCAGCACCUAAGCAUGACCUGGUUGACAGGCUCGCUCUGCUCGCUAGAUGGUAAUCGGCAAAGAAGUGGUCAUAGAUUUUGGCGUGCGGGUGUAUGGGGGCUGCACUCAAAACAAAAGCAAACCAACACUUACUAGAUGACGAACCCAAAAUGAUUAGCAUGGCGCUUUCCUUCAGAGACCUGUCACGUGCAUUACCGUUAUUAUUAUAUUAUUAUUGUUACACUGGUGUCCGCUCAACCUGGCGUGUGUUAAGGGGGGAACGCUCUGAGGUCUGCACCUAGUCAGUCCUAUAUGCUAUAUUCCCACCGCGCAUUACCGUUAUGCAUGAAGGGAAGGUAGCAACAACAAAGCCAUAAUUGAUUUAAGGGUCUGCAAUCUUAGCGGUAGCUAGGAUUUGGUCCUGGGGUCUGCAGAAGGUGCCUGGUCGCUGACACUGCCAAGUGACAUGAUGUACAGUGAUACACAGUUUUUCGACAUGUCUGUCAUAACACACAUGUAUCCGUAUCUUGCCAGCUGCGGUCGCUGUCUUAUCACUGAUGACACACUUACGAAUGAAUUUAUGAAAUUCGAACCUAUAAAUUGUUGAUGUUCUUCUUGUGGGGUUCUUGGGUUUUCCUUGGCUCCCUUCGCGUGUGUGUGUAUAUGUGUGUGUUACACUUGCGAUUACAGAGGUGCACAUCACACCGACAGACAUCAGACCGACAGCACAGCUUCCUCCGUACGGCAGCAACGCCCCACUGUUGACUGUUUGACCGAUUCAGUUCUCAGUUAAACUCACGUUCACCCUGCCCCUCCUCCUCCUCGUCGUGCUUUGCAGGCUACCAGUGAUUUUUUUUCAUUUAGGGCGGGUCUCAAUUUAUUCCAACCGAAGUAACAAAGUUGCUAGGGUCGCCGUAAUUUAUUCCAUAAGUGUGGGGCGCUGGGGGGGGCUACACCCCCCCCCAGACCCCCCCCAUAAGUUACAACUCCCCUCAUAGACCAAGAGGCACACACUGAGUUGGCGUGUUUUCGUUCAUGUGCGCACUCUUCAUGCACAUGCAUAGAUAGUUCUGGCACUGUUUGUGAGCAAUAAGUAAAUCCGACCAAGCAAAGGCCCAAAGCAAGCAACACCAUUGCCAAUGCAUUACCGACAACAGCACUGCCGUCCCAAACGCCUUUAUCAGGAAAAUUUUCAGGCUUAUCUUGCUGUUUUGGUGUUUCUUCGACGUUCGAGUCGUGUUGCCUUUUGCGUGUUUGGCUAUGUGAGGACCGGUCAUACAUUCUGCUAUGCCGCGUUGACUCACGGGCUCGACCUUCUUACGGCCCCUCAUAUCUAUUCUAUGAUUGAUAAUACUAAGUUCUGCACACUACGGAGCAAUCUGGCAGCAAUGGACGUUUUUGGCUGGAGGAAUGAAAAUGUACGGAUCGGCCUCAAUUCAUUCCGUUUUUCCAAAGGCCAAAAUGGCCUCUUUAUUCCUUUUAAGGAAUAUAUUACUUAAAAAAACACUGCAGGCUACUCGCUCUUCCUGGGCGGUUUCGUCUAUCCGGUUGUCGUACGCUGGGUAUGGUGCCGUACCGGCUGGCUAGGGUGGUACGGCACCGACGCGUUCCUUUUGGGAGCGGGCAUGAUUGACUUUGCGGGCAGCGGUGUCGUACACAUGACGGGGGGCCUGGCAGGUGAGUAGAACCCGGGGUUAGUUGGUGUCAGUUAAGUCGGUUGGACGGGGGAAGCCUCUGCCGAAUUACAUCUUGUAGUGAAUGGACUGGUGCCAGUGCUGACUUAGUUAGUUACCCUCCUAACUACUUAGGGUUUUAGGGUUUUACAUGCUCAGUGCAACAAAAGUCCCACCUCAUAACCGAGAGGCACGAGAGGCGCGAGAGAAAGAGUCCAAUACAUGUCCUUUUUUAAUAUCUUUGUCAGUGCAUGGUUUCCAAAUGUUUCACGACAUCGUUAAUUUUAUGCUUAACUGCUUUUGAUUGCCCAUUAUGUCGUCUAAGUUGUGACGCGAUCAGAGGGUUGCAAAAGGGGUCUAAUCCCCCAAUCCUGGGGGUGGGUAGUGGUCAGCCAUCCUCCCAUCCUGGCAGGGGUGAUCGACUCCCAUCCCCCAUCUUAAGGGCCGGUGCUAAUCCCAUCCCUCAAGACAGGUUUCCCAUCCUGCCAGCCAGGGUCCCUUCCCCAUCCCUUGAGCUGGUGCUGUAAUACAAAGGUGCUGUAAUAUCGGCUUUCUCUUUAGGUGUAAAUCAGGGGAAUGACCAGGGUUAUUUUCUAUUUCCGCGAGGUAUUUUUCUCUUGCUCUAUGGCUUAUUUCCUCUAACGUCGAUUUCCGAAGCAGACUGAAGCGACAAACGCUCUUUGAAGCGGAUCUUUGGCGCAUAGUGGGAACAAGGAAUUGCCGUGUUUUUUGCGUUGCCGUACAUGAUCACGUUGUGAAUCCAGAGCCCCAAGCCUGCAGAACUUUGAAGCACUAAAACUGAGUUGCAGUGCUUGAGGUUGGAAAGGGCGUCCCCAAGGUCUUCGCAAGUGGUUUUGGGCCGCUGCUCUGUUACCCAUCGUACAGAAGUCCGAGACGUUAGAUGAGUAAGGGAUGGAACUCACAAGCGCUGUCGCGGUGGUGAAAAUCCACCCUAAGCUGCCCGCCAUGAUCCACCAGUUGCUGAGUACCUCUCCAAAGAGAUGUCUCCGGAGCUCAGGGUCAAUGCUCGCCUGCACGGCAGGAUGGAAAGCCUGGUCCACAGGCUGUAGUACAUGCAGGCUGGUGGGGCCAAAGAUAUCAUAGGUUAUCAUGCUGUAAGCUGCAAGGCUAGUUAUCAGGAUUGAUGGAUGGCCAACAGCGCUGGCGAACCCGGUCGAGGGCAGAUGAGUCGGUUCUUGGGGCCGGGGUGCAGGGGCAGCGCUUGGGGGCUCAUUUGUUAAGGUGAUUGUCGAAGUACUUGUUGUUGAUAAAGAACUAUCGGCAGGUCCAGAUGCCUGGACUUUCACGUUGUUGAGCUUUGGAAGACGCAAGGAAAAUGCCCCGUUUGGACUAAUAACUGCAUAGCUUGUGCAUUGCGGCAUCAAUUUUAAGCACUUCAUUUCCAAGUAUAUUACAUCAAUUUUGCUGAGUCGAUUGUUUCCGAAUUGCAAAAGAUGGCCGGGGUAUGCAACGGUCAACCACCUCAGAAGCUGGCGCUGGUAGCUGAACGACACAGCGGAACCUAAUCCACGGAACUUGCAGCGAGCGACUUCCUUAUUUUACCCUUGGAUGGACGUCUGGAUGAACUCGCCUGUCAUGAAUUUGCUAAAUUGGUGCACAAGUAAUUGCAUAGCACGGAACUAGGGCCCUCCUCACAGGACGCACUAAAACCUGAAGAGGCUCAUUUAGAAGCUACCGUAACGCACCGAGGGGAGAAAGGGUUUUGGGGACCGAUGUCGCAGUUUACGGAUGCGGAGCUCCGACUUAACGGGUUGGGGACGCUGUCUGUUCUCCAUGAUCACCUUAUCUCCUACAUCACGUUUUUGCUAGACCUGGAAGAUGUCGUGCGGCUGUCCUGCUGCAGCAGAAUCCUUCGCGUGUUCGCUUGCGAAGAGCCGCUGUGGCUGAGCCUUUGCCUCAGGCAGGAGGAAGGCAUCGUGGAGUACAAGGUCAGAUGGUCGCAUAACGGGCACCUCGCGUUAUGCGUAAAAUUAGAUUUGCAAGAGCUGUCAAGGGCGCAACAGGGCGGGAUAGGACGCAACCACUUCCAAGCACGGAGCCAUGAGUCAAGAUCUUGGAUUGAACUUUCCGUUGUUCCUUUCCGGCAAUUCCUAAAAGUUAUGUAUUAAAACCUAGCUAAAGUUGCUUCCAGGCAGGGGCGUAGGCUGAUAGGCUGAGCUGAGCAGCAGCGCAGCUGUUGGGCACAAGCCUACGCGGAUACGCCCUCUCCUCAUCCAUCCCCGGAUCCAUCCGCCACCCCGCGUCCGUUUCCUAACUUUGCCCUCCCCAUUCGUUCUUCCCCACUCUCCAUCUCCCCCGGUCUACUGGAAAAGAUCACACUCCGUUUCAUUUUAACCACUGCACCUUUACAAAUCAACACGUUUUUCAAAAUCCCCACCCAGCAAUCCCCACACCUCCGUUUGCACAAUUUACCUCCUCCCCUUCAGCGAGUUUUGCUCCGGAACCAUCUGGCACCGGCUCUGGAACUGUCUUGGACGGCCAUCCUGAGUUUUGCUCGGAACCGCCUCUGAGGAAAAAAAGGUCCAUGGCUCCAAAACCAUUUUAUACCUCCGGAACUGGCUCCAUAUUUUGUGCUCUCACCCAAUUAUGUACAGGCCAAUUGGCGGCAAACGACUCUUGCUAGGUGCCGUGACAAACCCAUACCACCACCUUCUGUGGAGGCUGUGGCGCGACCGCUGCCACCCCUGGCGGGCUUCUCCUCCCUGUUUUUGUACAAACGAUGGUGGGUCGCUGACGAGAUGUCGUGAGGUGGUUGGCUUGAAUCCCCAGAGGUCCAGAGGUAUGUGUACGAACGUGCGUGUUUUUUCUCGUACACUCUGCCGUACACAGGUACCGCUGUCACGUGGAUCUCACGGGUUUCCUCCCCCCUCCCGGAGUGCCCACCGUGGAACGCGUGAAUGCCGGCGCCAUGUCGCCCGCGGACUUUGUCGAGCGGUACG
This 7179-nucleotide long non-coding RNA is filed under the name Volvox carteri. RNAcentral's name for it is "long non-coding RNA (VCAR_LNC002610)". Lineage: Eukaryota; Viridiplantae; Chlorophyta; Chlorophyceae; Chlamydomonadales; Volvocaceae. The record is from RNAcentral.